UACCAUACGGUAAAUUUGAAGUACAAGCUGUCAAUCUUUUCAAGAAAACAAUAUGUGUUUGCUUCUUUAAGAAAGGAAAAGUAUCAGGAACUCUCACAAAAUAUUCUGCAAACAAUUAUAAUUCAAGAAACAGAGAAGCAUGGCCUGAAGCAGAUCAACAACAUAAAACUUGACAACCUGUAUCAUUCCUAGGACUAAAUUAGGAGGAAACCAAAAAAAACAUCCAGAAUUUACAUGCCAACAGAGAACAAAUUGAUGACCAAACAAGACUUAGUUCUGGAGUACUAAUAAGAAAGAUAGAUACAUGGAUGAUGGUUAAGCGUCAUAGAUAACUUAGUAGAUACAUGGAUGAUGGAUAACUCGUCAGGCCCAUGGAGCUAUCACAGCAUGGAUAACUCGUCAGGCAUAACAUAGCUGCAACCAACACAAGAGAGGUGUUCUAGAUAAAUAGAUACAUAGGUAGACACAGAUAAGAAUCAAAUAGGGGAUCCCAUGCACUUACCUAAAAUUUGUCUUCGGAAGGUUUGUGCAUGGCUGGUGAAGGUUGCGGCUGAUGGGGCUAUCCACGGCUGUGACUCCGAGGCAGCCGGAUGGGGUAGGGGGCAGCAGACGGAUGGAGCUCGGGGGUGGCGGAUGGCCGAAGCUUGCUAUCGGGGUCGGCGGAUGGAUGUCCAGCUGCUACUUGCGGCUCUACGACUCAGAUCUUUGGCUUGGCAUCGCCGGAACCAACGACCAGAAGCCGCGCCAGUCCCCUACUGCGCGGUCCCCAGAGACCUCACCGGCGCACCCGAUACCGCGGCGGCUACCCGGCCUGGGCCUCCAUGCCGGCGGCAUCGUGGCACGGACAGGAGACCCUGCCUCGCGAGACGGAGGGAUCUGACGCUGCCACCACUCGAAGACUCCCUCCCGUGUGCUCCCGUGAACCAAAUCGGGAAGAUCAGGGGAUAUGAGGCUGGAGGAGGUGGAGCUCGGGAUGGGAGAUGAAGAGGGCACGGGCAUAGGCGGCGGCAUGUAGUGUAUUUGGCGGAGAAAGAGGCGGCGGCGGAGCAGCAGGGAAGAGGCAGGGGUUGAAGGAGAGGAUAGGAAAGAGAGAGAGGGGUCGCGUGUGUUGGAAACCUUAGCGGGGAAGGAAACGAGAGCUAUUUUC
This 1147-nucleotide long non-coding RNA is filed under the name Triticum aestivum (bread wheat). RNAcentral describes it as "long non-coding RNA (TAES_LNC027773)". Lineage: Eukaryota; Viridiplantae; Streptophyta; Magnoliopsida; Poales; Poaceae. The record is from RNAcentral.